RNAcentral lists this ribosomal RNA (418 nucleotides) under uncultured bacterium. Its description in RNAcentral is "bacterial SSU rRNA". It matches the Rfam family "Bacterial small subunit ribosomal RNA", at positions 954 to 1372 of the family's 1533-position model. The record is from RNAcentral.
GCAAAACGCGAAGAACCUUACCUGGGCUUGACAUGCUGGGAAAAGCCACAGAGAUGUGGUGUCCUUCGGGGCCCAGCACAGGUGGUGCAUGGCUGUCGUCAGCUCGUGUCGUGAGAUGUUGGGUUAAGUCCCGCAACGAGCGCAACCCUUGUCCUAUGUUGCCAGCGGGUAAUGCCGGGGACUCGUAGGAGACCGCCGGGGUCGAACUCGGAGGAAGGUGGGGACGACGUCAAGUCAUCAUGCCCCUUAUGUCCAGGGCUGCAAACAUGCUACAAUGGCCGGUACAAAGGGCUGCUAUACCGCGAGGUUGAGCGAAUCCCAUAAAGCCGGUCUCAGUUCGGAUUGAAGUCUGCAACUCGACUUCAUGAAGCCGGAGUCGCUAGUAAUCCCGGAUCAGCAACGCCGGGGUGAAUACGUU